RNAcentral lists this ribosomal RNA (497 nucleotides) under uncultured bacterium. RNAcentral's name for it is "partial 16S ribosomal RNA". It matches the Rfam family "Bacterial small subunit ribosomal RNA", at positions 28 to 507 of the family's 1533-position model. The record is from RNAcentral.
GAUGAACGCUGGCGGCGUGCCUAAUACAUGCAAGUCGAGCGAACAGACGAGGCGCUUGCUCCUCUGACGUUAGCGGCGGACGGGUGAGUAACACGUGGAUAACCUACCUAUAAGACUGGGAUAACUUCGGGACACCGGAGCUAAUACCGGAUAACAUGUUGAACCGCAUGGUUCAACAGUGAAAGACGGUCUUGCUGUCACUUAUAGCUGGAUCCGCGCCGCAUUAGCUAGUUGGUAAGGUAACGGCUUACCAAGGCGACGAUGCGUAGCCGACCUCAGAGAGGGAUCGGCGACACUGGAGCUGGAACAGGGUCCAUGGUCCUACGGGAGGCAGCAGUAGGCAACCGUACGCAAUAGGCGGAAGCCUGACGGAGCAACGCCGCGUGAGUGAAGAAGAUCUUCGGAUCGUGAAACUCUGUUAUUAGGGAAGAACAAAUGUGUAAGUAACUAUGCACGUCUUGACGGUACCUAAUCAGAAAGCCACGGCUAACUACGUG